GGCCAGACUCCUACGGGAGGCAACAGUGGGGAAUAUUGCACAAUGGGGGAAACCCUGAUGCAGCGACGCCGCGUGAGUGAGGAAGUAUUUCGGUAUGUAAAGCUCUAUCAGCAGGGAAGAAAAUGACGGUACCUGACUAAGAAGCCCCGGCUAACUACGUGCCAGCAGCCGCGGUAAUACGUAGGGGGCAAGCGUUAUCCGGAUUUACUGGGUGUAAAGGGAGCGUAGACGGCGAUGCAAGUCUGAAGUGAAAGGCGGGGGCCCAACCCCCGGACUGCUUUGGAAACUGUAUAGCUGGAGUGCAGGAGAGGUAAGUGGAAUUCCUAGUGUAGCGGUGAAAUGCGUAGAUAUUAGGAGGAACACCAGUGGCGAAGGCGGCUUACUGGACUGUAACUGACGUUGAGGCUCGAAAGCGUGGGGAGCAAACAGGAUUAGAUACCCCCGUAU
Molecule: ribosomal RNA, 447 nt
Filed under: uncultured bacterium
Lineage: Bacteria
Description: bacterial SSU rRNA
Rfam family: Bacterial small subunit ribosomal RNA
Source: RNAcentral